GCGGGAACAACAGGAUUUCUGAUCACAAACUACGAUAAGUUCUCCGCGUUUCUUUAAAUUAGACAGACCAACAAAAGAUGUGGGGGUUAUUGAAGGAUUAAACCAAGAACUCACCAACGCUGGAUAUGACGACCCCCAGCAGCCAGUAAUCAAGAAGCCUCAAUCCUCACCGCCCAUACCUCUCAAUCUCUUGGAGCAAGAAAUCUGGACAAAGCCUGAUAUAAUGAUUAAAAACUUGCACAGACCAUCAACAGGCACAAUGUGAACUGAUAGAGAAAACAACACCUGAAGGCAGGAGGACAAGAUUGUGAGGAUUCAAGCAAUUAGUCAGCUGGUGCAGAAAAGCCUAGGGUGGACACUUUGUAGGGGAGAGAGAGAGAGAGCUCAUCCAAAGCCCUUUUCUGUUUUCUAUGAGAAAGUGCUGCAUAAAUCAAAGGAGAUGAAACAAUUUAAAAAAUGGAUAAGAAACAGUGCACUGCGAACAUUGAAUGAGUACGUUAAUUAAAAAGGAUUACUGUUUAUAUGACAAAUGAUGUGUUUGUCUUAAAAUGUGAACUGCAGUCUGAAUGAUACUUUAAUACCAUUGAAAUCCAUAAGUACAAGACAGAAAACAACUAUUUAAUUUAAUAUAAAUAUAAUAAUGUAUGCACUGCAUAUCAGAAUUUCACUUAAAAUUUAACUGAA
Protopterus annectens (West African lungfish) is the source of this 684-nucleotide long non-coding RNA. RefSeq lists it as uncharacterized. The record is from RefSeq and is a predicted model, not a curated record. Lineage: Eukaryota; Metazoa; Chordata; Ceratodontiformes; Protopteridae. The transcript is spliced from 3 exons.